AUUUAAAUAGUUUAAAAAAAAUAUUGAUUUGUGGAGUCAAAGAUAUAAAUAAUAUUUUAAAUU
This 63-nucleotide transfer RNA is filed under the name Orthotrichia sp. XG-2021. Its description in RNAcentral is "tRNA-His". Lineage: Eukaryota; Metazoa; Arthropoda; Insecta; Trichoptera; Hydroptilidae. The record is from RNAcentral.